RNAcentral lists this transfer-messenger RNA (362 nucleotides) under Oscillospiraceae. RNAcentral describes it as "JAAYOP01 sp012520295 Standard tmRNA". It matches the Rfam family "transfer-messenger RNA". From Rfam's summary of the family: Bacterial tmRNA, also known as 10Sa RNA or SsrA, is named for its dual tRNA and mRNA-like properties. Its role is to liberate the mRNA from a stalled ribosome. Lineage: Bacteria; Bacillati; Bacillota; Clostridia; Eubacteriales. RNAcentral also lists the same sequence under 1 other name. The record is from RNAcentral.
GGGGGCGUACCGGUUUCGACGGGGGUACGGAGGCGGGAUAAGCGGGCAGAGGAGCCUGACCUCUUUAAAACGGGCAAACUUAUAAAUUAAACAACAAUAACAAUUAUCAACUAGCGGCUGCUUAAAGCCGCUCGUCCAACCCGGAAGGACCACGAUCCGGGCCGGGGCGUGACUUAGUGGUGAACGUGAGCGCGGUAAGCUUUGCCCGCGCCAUGAAUAAUGAAGCUACAGAACCGUAAGGCGUGACGGUUUGCCUUUUGGAUUUCUGGAAAUAGCGACUUUGCUACAAUAACCGUCUGCGCCCGGAGAAAGUCCCUCCAAAGUUCUUUCGGACAGGGGUUCAACUCCCCUCGCCUCCACCA